UACGUAGGGGGCUAGCGUUGUCCGGAAUCAUUGGGCGUAAAGCGCGUGUAGGCGGUCCGGUAAGUCCGCUGUGAAAGUCGAGGGCUCAACCCUCGAAUGCCGGUGGAUACUGUCGGGCUUGAGUACGGGAGAGGCGAGUGGAAUUCCUGGUGUAGCGGUGAAAUGCGCAGAUAUCACAAGGAACACCAACGGCGAAGGCAGCACUCUGGGCCGGUACUGACGCUGAGGAGCGAAAGCGUGGGGAGCAAACAGG
This 253-nucleotide ribosomal RNA is filed under the name uncultured bacterium. RNAcentral's name for it is "partial 16S ribosomal RNA". It matches the Rfam family "Bacterial small subunit ribosomal RNA", at positions 524 to 776 of the family's 1533-position model. The record is from RNAcentral.